GAGAAUUUCCCUUUAGCUUAGCAAUGUGCUGAAGCUCUUAAAAGAUUGGAUCUGAGAGAGAGAGAGAGAGACAGACAGAGAGGAGAAAGAGAACUAGAGACAGGGAGGCAGACAGGGAGGGGGGGAGAAGACUUUCUUUUUCUUUCUAGAGGAAUUCUGCCCAGAGUCUGCAGCAGUUGGUAGCAGGCAAGCUUUCUCCUGGGUGUCGCCUGGAAAAGUUGCAAAAUUGCUCUUCACCUGUAAGAACAUGCUCUUUAUCUUCCAGUCUCUUCUUGUCAAUUUGGAAAUCGCAGACAGCCCGGCUCAGGCUGAAGUGCAGUAGCACAAUCUUGGCUCACUGAAGCCUCCACCUCCCAGGUUGGAGCGAUUCUCGUGCCUCAGCCUCCAGAGCAGCUGGGAUUACAGGCUUGCCACAGAAAAUUUCUUAAUGAAAGAGAUGACGAUGUUGAUCUUCCCCCCCCAGAAUGAAGAUACUUCAGGACUUAGUCUGAAAGGGUACCAAGUCGUGAUGGAGAAAAACAUGAAACCGUUGAUUCAGUUCAUUGCAAAUUCAUUCUACCAAACCUUAGCAUGGUUCUUGGCUGCUGCUCGGUAGUCCUUGUAUUCAUCUCUUGGAGACUCACUAAUUAGUUUCCUACACCUGUGGUCUAAAAGCCUUCUUCAUAUUUUUAAAACUCACGUUUGAUCUCUCCUUCCCCUUGCACUCAGAAGAUGAUCUUGCUUUCUGCUUUACUGAGAAGUUGAAGGUCAUUUGCAAUCUCUUUCAACUUUCUACUCCCAUCCUAUUUUCUAUUUUCCUUCAUCUCUCGCUUCCUCUGCUCUUUUGUUUCAGGGGAAGAAACAACCCUCUUAUUUCUAGGUUGAACCCAACUUCUACAGAACUUUUUUUCUGUAAAUAGUACGUUUUUUUCUUUUCUUUUCUGUUUUUUUUUGAGACAGAGUCUC
This is a non-coding RNA of Saimiri boliviensis boliviensis (Bolivian squirrel monkey), 945 nucleotides long. The record is from RefSeq and is a predicted model, not a curated record. NCBI's taxonomy places the organism in Eukaryota, Metazoa, Chordata, Mammalia, Primates, Cebidae.